This 791-nucleotide ribosomal RNA is filed under the name uncultured bacterium. RNAcentral's name for it is "bacterial SSU rRNA". It matches the Rfam family "Bacterial small subunit ribosomal RNA", at positions 8 to 794 of the family's 1533-position model. The record is from RNAcentral.
AGAGUUUGAUCCUGGCUCAGGAUGAACGCUAGCGGCAGGCUUAAUACAUGCAAGUCGAACGGGAUUCGGGGUAGCAAUACUUUGAUGAGAGUGGCGCACGGGUGCGUAACGCGUAUGCAACCUACCUUUAACAGGGGAAUAGCCCCGAGAAAUCGGGAUUAAUACUCCGUAACAUUGCGGUGUGGCAUCACACUGCACUUAAAGCUGAGGCGGUUAAAGAUGGGCAUGCGUGACAUUAGCUAGUUGGUGAGGUAACGGCUCACCAAGGCAACGAUGUCUAGGGGUCCUGAGAGGGUUAUCCCCCACACUGGUACUGAGACACGGACCAGACUCCUACGGGAGGCAGCAGUAAGGAAUAUUGGUCAAUGGGCGCAAGCCUGAACCAGCCAUGCCGCGUGCAGGAAGACGGCCCUAUGGGUUGUAAACUGCUUUUGUCAGGGAAUAAACCCCCGCUCGUGAGCGGGGCUGAAGGUACCUGAAGAAUAAGCAUCGGCUAACUCCGUGCCAGCAGCCGCGGUAAUACGGAGGAUGCAAGCGUUAUCCGGAUUCAUUGGGUUUAAAGGGUGCGCAGGCGGAUUGGUAAGUCAGGGGUGAAAUCCCACAGCUCAACUGUGGAACUGCCUUUGAUACUGUCAGUCUAGAGUAUAGUUGAAGUUGGCGGAAUGUGUCAUGUAGCGGUGAAAUGCUUAGAUAUGACACAGAACACCGAUCGCGAAGGCAGCUAGCUAAGCUAUAACUGACGCUCAUGCACGAAAGCGUGGGGAUCAAACAGGAUUAGAUACCCYGGUAGU